ACCAGCCCUGCAGGAACGCUAUGGGAAAGAAGCCGGGAAGUUCUCAGCUGUCAGUGAGGGCCAGGGGGAUCCCCCAGGGGGCCCGGCCCCCACCGUCCUGGCCCCCAUGCCGUUGGCAGAGGUGGAGCUGAAAUGGGAAAUGGAGAAAGAGGAGAAGAGAUUGCUCUGGGAACAGCUGCAAGGCUUAGAGAGCUCAAAGCAGGCCGAAACAUCCAGGCUGCAGGAGGAACUUGCUAAGGUG
This 241-nucleotide long non-coding RNA is filed under the name Pan troglodytes (chimpanzee). RNAcentral describes it as "long non-coding RNA NONPTRT018464". The record is from RNAcentral. Lineage: Eukaryota; Metazoa; Chordata; Mammalia; Primates; Hominidae.